This is a long non-coding RNA of Brachypodium distachyon (stiff brome), 665 nucleotides long. RefSeq lists it as uncharacterized. The record is from RefSeq and is a predicted model, not a curated record. Lineage: Eukaryota; Viridiplantae; Streptophyta; Magnoliopsida; Poales; Poaceae. The transcript is spliced from 4 exons.
UUCCAUGGGAAUUGAAGAGCUAAAAGAAGGGUAGGAACUGAGAAUCUUGCAUCUACAUGUUGUACUCUUACCCUGGUUCCAAUAUAUAAUAGCAGUAAAAAAGUGCUGGACAACAAGGUAAAUGAGCGAUUUCUUUCCUUCCGCUUUACUGCUUUAAAAGUAGCUGAUUUGUCUUGCUUUACUGCUUUCCGCUGUUAUUUUUUUCCUUAUCUAACACUGAAGUCUAGAACUGAUAUGGGUUUUCACUGAAGUCCAUUGGUGUCUCUCCUGUACAGAUAGAACAAAGUUACGGAUCCUCUACUUUUGCUCAGUCUCCGAUCAGACCUGCGUUAACUAAUGGAGAAAUAGCUGCUUUAUUGAGACGACAUACAUGUUUCUCCGACGGUGCUAUGUUUUGUGCCAGUAUUGGUGACGACAAACAUGUUUCUCCUACUGAUUGACACCAUGUAUAUGCCAUUGGCAGUGAUGGAAUCUUUAGAGGAGCGUUGACAUUCUUCGUAGAGUUUAAAUGUUGUGGUUUGAUACAGAACAAAAGAAAGAAGUAUCUUUUCCUCUCAAGGCGAGAGGAAGAUGUUGAGUGAAACAAUAAGGAUACUACACAUUAUGUUGUGAAGAUAAUAUUGUUUUCCUGCUCUAACACAGGACACUAGAGCAUGCGUUACAUA